This 306-nucleotide long non-coding RNA is filed under the name Anser brachyrhynchus (Pink-footed goose). RNAcentral's name for it is "lncRNA (ENSABRG00000021741.1)". Lineage: Eukaryota; Metazoa; Chordata; Aves; Anseriformes; Anatidae. The record is from RNAcentral.
CAGAGACUGAGUAGGAGAGAGCUUGGUGUUGAUUGAAACCAAAGAAGCUAUGCCACUUGGAGAUCUCUGUUGCCCCCUGUUAGAGAAGUGCUGGGCUGUCAAGAGACCACUUCAUGCUUCUCCUGUAACAGUACCUAUUGAAGCUUCUGGAAGUCACCAUUUCUUGGGCAGGGGGAUUUUCUGCUCUGCGCAGUUUCUCUGGUUUGGAAGUGAAGCAGUUUAACAAUGUGUCCUGAAGGAAACAGGCAACCAAAGAGCAUUUCCAAAGAAGAUAUAAGACAAGCAGAAUUCUAGUUUAGAUGGAGG